ACAACAACAUAAACACAAGUGAAAGCACCUAAGCUAUUACAUUUAUUCAUUCAUACAAGUCAUUUGAUUACCUUCGUAUCAAAUACGAGUAAAACUAUUCUUUUACAUUCAUUUACAAUUACAUCACAUUUAUUUCAACCCAAAAUACAAAUUUACAUUUUCUAUCUUUACAUCAUCUACAGUUCAACACCUACAGUUAAGUACACCAAAAUGUA
This 215-nucleotide long non-coding RNA is filed under the name Ananas comosus (pineapple). Its description in RNAcentral is "long non-coding RNA (ACOM_LNC010088)". Lineage: Eukaryota; Viridiplantae; Streptophyta; Magnoliopsida; Poales; Bromeliaceae. The record is from RNAcentral.